UGGAUUCAUGGGGCUGGCACUGUCCCCUUUCUGUGCUGGUGGCAGACAUGCUGCCUGUGGUUGCCCGCAUGAUCCGCCCACUGCUCUGCCAGCCACUUCUGUGCUCUGCACCCCAGUGCCCUCGCCGUGAACUUGGAGCUGGGGGUACUCCGGGAGAGCAGGCUGCGCUGCGCAGGCACCGAGCCCGCAGCGGCCCCGCACGACGGCAGCGCUCCCUCUUUUAAGCGAUCUCCUCUGCGUGACCGACGCUUGCUGCUCCAGUAGCUCCAGGUUUGCACGGCCUGGAAUGGGGCUAGCCGCUGCUACCCUCCUUCCAGAAGCCUCUGGGUGCAGCUGAGCCGUUUCUCCGGUGGGUCUUGGGUGGGUGGGAGCCUACAGCAGUAAGCGAUUUGCAUACAACACGCCGAGGCUUGCUGCCAGACUACGUGUCCCAGCGUGCUCCGCUGCCUGCUCUGCUGCCUGCUCUGCUGGGUGCUACAGAGGCUUCCUCGGUCUGGGUGAGGUGGGCUCUGGCAAUGGAGGACAGUGACAGGAGGAUGAGGACAAGAGGGUGAGACCAUGUUUUGGCUUUGCUGUUAGACACAGAUUGGCCAGAGCUAUUGCAGCCCACAGGAGGAGGUGAAAAGACAGCUGGACUACAUGUCCAGGAGUGUCUGCAUGUGCUUUGUCACUGUGUCUCUAACCACCAUGUGGUCCCAGCCCCCUGCAAAGGUAAAUGGGAAUUUUGGGGCCUGCUUUGAGUCAAUUUGUGCCACCCCAUGCUCCAUAUGUGGAGCGGCCUUCUCUUGGGUCCUCAUGGAGCCACCAGCGUGUCAGAAUGGCCAGAGCUGGAGCUGUGCUCUCUCUUUCUGUUAGGUAGUCCUACAAACAUGGUCCUCUUCAAAUCAGUCAUCUGCACUGCUGAUGCCUCUGUGCUCUUCCCUCCUCUGGCACAAUGCCCUACAGUAUGGCGCGGAAGCCUCGGUGCAUGCCCCAGCUCCUCUCCCAGUCUGCACAGUUUGCACAUGCUAACCAGAUGCUGUCGCUGUGAUGCCACCAUCCCAUCUUCUCUCCCUCUUUUUUUGCCCCUUCCACUCUAGAAACAUUGGCAUUGGGUCAGCAGCUGUUUUCUGCCCUCCUGCAGCACUUGCUGGGUGGGUGGCAUCUGCUCACCCGGGGGUGGGGGAGAGGAGUGUGGCAGGGUGAGGCGAGAGCAGGAGAUCAGGGUGAGGGAUAAAGCCAGGCCUAUUUUUAUACUGCAAAGUAAUUACCAGAGCUUUCCAAUGCUUAAUCUGCUGAGAGCACCCCAGUGCGAUUGGAUCCCUCCCCGAGCCUGGCAACAAUUCUCCCAUCACACGUCUCCUGCGUCAAAGCCCCGUAAACUCCCACACUUGGGCUCACAUGUGCUGCAGAGCUGCUGUCUGUCUGUCCCCCACCCCUAGCAGCCUCUGGCCUAGGAACGAAUAUGGGGACCCCAUCUGGGACCCUGGUUCGUGGCCAGGAAGGGAGAUCUUACCACUGACCUCAGCAGGGCAGGAUGGAGCCUUGCAGCCUUGGCCUCUUGUUCAGCCUGCUGUGGACAUCUCUUUCCCUGCAUCUUAGAUGGAACUGCUGGGUAGAUUUGGGUCUCAGCCGUUUGAACACACUGAAUACAUGCUUUCCCCUAUAGCUGCCUCCCAGGGAUUUUUGGCCAGGGUUAGCUGCUCACAUAGCACCCUCCAGCACUCAUCCGGCUUGGUUCCCGUCAGCACAGGCAGGGUCCAGGGAGCCCCUCUCCUGGCGGUGCACAAGAUGUCUAGCCAGCAGUGCCAAGUCUCAUUUGGCACCUUUCCCAGCCUCUCCCCGUCCUGUCGCCAUGCCAGGGGUUUGCUGAAGAACCUGUUCCAUAGCUCCCGCCAUGGAGAAGGAAAUGACAGGCGGUUUGCGGCAACAUCUUUCAUCCUGGGGCUGGGAGACUGCUUUGCACACACCGUGUGCAGACAGUUCUGGGGUGGAGCACAGGAGCUGCUCAGCCUGGGGAUGGAGGUGAGGGCUUGGGUUGGCUCUCAUCUUCCUUUACCCAUCCUGUUUUCAGUGCCCACCGCUCCCCAGUGCUUCACGGAAAGCUAGACUGGCGUGUUCAGCCCUGCUCCGUGGUGGGGCUGUGUGUGCUUUCUGUACCACAGUUCCUACACUUGGGACCCUGUAGAGUUCACAACACUCUUGCUGAGUGUUUGGAAGUAUCCCUUGAUCCAGGCUAUCUCGGUGCAAGGCAGCAGACACAAAGUAAACUUUGUAGUGUACCGGAUGCAGUGCUGCUUUUCCACAGCAGAACCCAGGAUUGUGAAGGGUCAUCUGCCUUUGGGUUAUCCCCAGGUGACCCCACCAAUGUCCCUUCCCCCUGCCUGGGAGGGACCUGGCUUUGAAGCCACCCUGCCUGCUGCCUUGCCUAAGCCAAUGGCCAUAAAAGGCCCUGAAAUGGAGGAGCCAGACAAGGAGGCCAGGCUGCUGCUGGAGCCCAAGAGGGAUCAUCCUGUCUGCCCACGCAGGCUGAGCUUGCCAGGAUGUGGGAGUGGGAGUCUGGUUGGGGGAAAGCAGCCCAGCAGCCUGGAGCAGGGUCAGGAGUCUGGGGCACGCUGUGCUCCCCUCCAUCUCCCUUUACUUCCCAGAGGACACAUUUGGGCUGUGCCUCAAGGUAGUGGAGACCUACAUCACCUCCCGUGAGGGGCUCGGUGUGGGGGUAGAGCUGUCUUUUCAUUGGGCACCUGAGCCGUGGGGCUGUGUGGGCCAAGGGGCAUGUAGAGGGCUCUCCUGCUGGCCCCCCGCUUCCUCUCCCCAGACAAUGGCUGCCCUUUGUUGGGGUUUUACACACCCGGCCCCCUUCCCUGUGGCCCAGCUGGUGACAUUUUACCACCUCCAUAUUCACAUGGGGAUUCAAAGGGCACAGAUGCAGCGUGAAACCACAAAGUGCCGCCUCCCCCCACUCCUGUUUUCCCUCUACAGCAUCCCCAGGGAGGCAGGGCUAGGAUGCAUGGAUGGGAUGCACACAGCAGGAACCUCCCUCCGUGGCUAUUUAAGAGGCAGUCCUUGAAGGGAGGGGGCCCUUGGGGAGCCCCUCUCCGGGGCUCCCUCCAUCCUCCUGCCCUUCCCUUGCUAACAGCCCUCCAUUAUUUUGUCAGUCUUUUGAGAUUCUUGCCUUCCAUCCGUGGCUGAAAGGGGCUUGGCACAUCAGACACCCACCCACUCGUGGGAGAUGAAGGGAGGCAGCAUCCAAGUUAGUGAUGUUUGACCUUUUGGAAAUGGACCCAUGGAGAUGGAGCUGUGUGGGUGGUACCCACCUCUGCCCUGCUGGCUCCUGGCUGCCAGAGCAAUGCCAAGUAAGCUGGCAUUGCCAGCCCUGGCAUCACCCUGGGCUCAUGGGUGUAACAGCUCUGUGGGUGUAGUUGAUCUGUUGGAUGCACAAUGGCCCCUGUCCCUUUGGAGAAGUCCUAGUACACAGGCAUCCAACUCUUGCCCCUUCACUCCCACUCCCAGACCUCCAGGGGCUUUCCCUCGAGGACCUGGGCAAGUAGCCCAGUUCCUCCCAACUGGUCACUGCCUCCGCAGGGGCCUUGGGAAAACGGCCUGUAAACAGGCAGACGGAGGGCGUGAGUCACAGCCACCGAGAGGGAAAGAAAUGCACGAGGGGAAUUUGCAGCAUGCAUUGGGUCAUGGGGAUGAAUCCAGCUUCUCCCAGCAACGAGCCCUCGCCAGCGCGGCGUCCCCUGGUGCAUCAGCCUCUGUCCCCUUCCGCAUCAGGGCAGGCGCAGCCAUGUCAGGGUUCGUGCCCCCUGCCCAGGCAGGGCCAGGGCGCGCCUGAGCAGUGCUGGGGGCGUUAGGGGUGGGGAAUGCACUGCAUCUUUUUAUACCCCUAAAUCCCCCGUGGGCUCAUUUUGUUAUCCCACCCCCUCCGCGGUUGGCUGCGGCAGGGCUCCGCGGCUGACGUCACUAAUAUAUGCUGAUUUAUGCGCGGGGGGGGACACCUCACCGCUGCCCCGGUCCCUCUGCCCCGCCCCCUCCCCCCCUCCCUCGGUCCUGGAGUCCCCCCGCAAACGGCCCCCGCCUCUGUCCCUCCCUGCCUGCCCUGCGGGUUGCCGUGGGAACCGGCCCGGUCUUCUGAUGUCACCGAGACGGUUGCUACGCGACCGGUCCGUUCGCCCGUCCCCGCGUGAGGUCACUGUCGCCAUGGCGACGGGCCGGUGCGGCGAGAAGCGGAGGGGGGGGAUGCGGGGCCUCCCCCGGGGCCGGGCGGGGCGGACUGCGGCGGGAGGGCGGCCCCGCGAUGGGGGACAGACUCGGCGCGGGGAGAGGGGUGUCGUCCCCGGGAAACAGCGAGAGGUUUGCAUUCAAAAGAGUGGAAAACGGAAAAUAAAGCUUGUUUUGGCUCA
Long non-coding RNA from Pogoniulus pusillus (Red-fronted tinkerbird), 4385 nucleotides. RefSeq lists it as uncharacterized. Lineage: Eukaryota; Metazoa; Chordata; Aves; Piciformes; Lybiidae. The record is from RefSeq and is a predicted model, not a curated record. The transcript is spliced from 2 exons.